GCGGGCAUAGUUCAGAGGUAGAACACCUGCCUUCCAAGCAGGACACACGGGUUCGAUUCCCGUUGCCCGCU
Molecule: transfer RNA, 71 nt
Filed under: Chloroflexota bacterium
Lineage: Bacteria; Bacillati; Chloroflexota
Description: Chloroflexi bacterium (anaerobic digester metagenome) tRNA-Gly
Rfam family: tRNA
About the family: Transfer RNA (tRNA) molecules are approximately 80 nucleotides in length. Their secondary structure includes four short double-helical elements and three loops (D, anti-codon, and T loops).
Source: RNAcentral